RNAcentral lists this ribosomal RNA (393 nucleotides) under uncultured bacterium. RNAcentral describes it as "partial 16S ribosomal RNA". It matches the Rfam family "Bacterial small subunit ribosomal RNA", at positions 523 to 918 of the family's 1533-position model. The record is from RNAcentral.
AUACGGAGGAUCCGAGCGUUAUCCGGAUUUAUUGGGUUUAAAGGGUGCGCAGGCGGGAGAUUAAGUCGGCGGUGAAAUUUUGCAGCUCAACUUUAAAAGUGCCUUUGAAACUGGUUUCCUUGAGUGUAGAUGAAGUAGGCGGAAUUUGUGGUGUAGCGGUGAAAUGCAUAGAUAUCACGAGGAACUCCGAUUGCGCAGGCAGCUUACUAAACUACUACUGACGCUCAGGCACGAAGGCGUGGUGAUCAAACAGGAGUAGAUACCCUGGUAGUCCACGCAGUAAACGAUGAUUACUAGCUGUUUGCGAUACAAUGUAAGCGGCUGAGCGAAAGCGUUAAGUAAUCCACCUGGGGAGUACGUUCGCAAGAAUGAAACUCAAAUGAAUUGACGGGG